Molecule: long non-coding RNA, 1460 nt
Organism: Scleropages formosus (Asian bonytongue)
Lineage: Eukaryota; Metazoa; Chordata; Actinopteri; Osteoglossiformes; Osteoglossidae
Source: Ensembl
GUGCCCAUGUCCCCCUCUUAGACGCCUCCAUCCCCCUCACACCCCACCCAGCAUUACGCACCAGAGCCAUCGCAGAACAGAUUGCGGAAUUACCAUUAGAAUAUAAGGAGCCUGGCUGCUGCGGGCGGCAAAUGGAGAAACCGCUGCUGAAUAAGAGGCUACAAAAGGCCUUUGCUCCAUCGCUACAUCCCCAGAGUCCCACAAGAGACUGUUGAAGAUGGCACCUGACGAAGAAAACAACUCUUUGUCAAUGUGCAGAUCUCCAAAGGAAGCGUCCAGUGGAUGCCACCUGCACGAGGGGCGCGCCGAGCGGCGCUCCAGCAAGGCCGCGGAAGCCCGGGGACAGCAGUUAAAGAGCUUAUUUCCCAAAUCUCUUUAUCCUUUCGAGAACUGUGCGAUGUUGACAGAAAGUCAGUUAACUCCAGCCAGUGGCAGCUGCGCAGGGGUUUUGCAUAAUUAAUUAUUUAUACGAAGCCAGACACAGCCAUUACCAUCCAGAUGAAUAUGAUAUUCUAAUCAGGCGCCGCUUUAAUUUUAAUUGCCCUCCAGCAUCUAGCUGUCAGCGCUGGCCUGACUUGAUAAAGUGGAGACUCACAGAACACCAUUAGACAUCUGUUUCAGGACCAUCACCUCAGUUCUCCCACCCCCCCGAACAAAAAAUCAAUACAGGCCCUCUUGCGCCGCCUCCGUCCCUGAGAAAACACAGAACGGACAAACUGCAAGCACGUCUGAUCCCCCAGCUCCACACAGCUGCCGUAUUUUUUUUACUCUGAAAGCAUUGCUGAUGUUGGCUUCAUAAGCUUCUUACACUGCAUAUAUAUUCCACUGGGUAUGUGGUGGAAAAGGUGACAGUAAAGGUUAACAAGGGGAUAUUUUUGGCAAACCUUUUGCAGUGACCAGGAGUGAUUGCACAUAAGUUUUAUUGCCGUACUAUAGCUCUGUUAGAAACAGCAGUACAUUUUAAUGUAAAUCCUAUACUUGUCUUAAAUGAAUUAUUAUUAUUAUUAUUAUUAUUAUUAUUAUUAUUAUUAUUAUUGAAUAACUGAAUGCUCUAUUUUACAUUUACAUUUUACAUUUAUUUGUUUACCAGACACUUUUCUCCAAAGCAACUUCCAAUGAGCUCUGUGUAGUGUUAUCACAGUCAUUUGUAUGGUGGCACAGUGGCACAGCAGGUAGCACUGAUGCCUCAUUGCUCCUUGAUUUUGGCUCUUGGUUUGAAUAUGGCUCAGUCUGUGUGGAGUAUCCAUGUUCUCUUUAUUUUUGUGUCAAUUUCCUCCAGGAAGACUCAUUUUCUUCUACAGUGCAAUGACGUGUAUUUCAGGUGAGUGCGUGUGAGUCAGUAAAUGAGUGUGUGAUUGCCAAGUGAUGCACUGGUGUCUCAUUCAGGCUGUACCCUGCCUCACAGCUUCUGGGAUAGGUUUUGGACCACCACGACCCCUCACUGAAUAAGUGGCUAUUGA